GACGUAGGGUGCAAGCGUUGUCCGGAUUUACUGGGCGUAAAGAGCGCGUAGGCGGCUCGUUAAGUGAGAAGUGAAAGCUGUGGGCUCAACCCACAAACCGCUUUUCAUACUGGCGAGCUGGAGUGAUGCAGAGGUGGAUAGAAUUCCUGGUGUAGCGGUGAAAUGCGUUGAUAUCAGGAGGAAUACCCGUGGCGAAGGCGGUCCACUGGGCAUCAACUGACGCUGAGGCGCGAAAGCGUGGGGAGCAAACAGG
RNAcentral lists this ribosomal RNA (253 nucleotides) under uncultured bacterium. Its description in RNAcentral is "partial 16S ribosomal RNA". It matches the Rfam family "Bacterial small subunit ribosomal RNA", at positions 524 to 776 of the family's 1533-position model. The record is from RNAcentral.